RNAcentral lists this ribosomal RNA (489 nucleotides) under uncultured bacterium. RNAcentral describes it as "partial 16S ribosomal RNA". It matches the Rfam family "Bacterial small subunit ribosomal RNA", at positions 28 to 507 of the family's 1533-position model. The record is from RNAcentral.
GAUGAACGCUGGCGGCAGGCUUAAUACAUGCAAGUCGUGGGGCAGCAGGACUGUAGCACUACAGUUGCUGGCGACCGGCAAACGGGUGCGGAACACGUACGCAACUUACCCUGAACUGGGGGAUAGCCCGGGGAAACCCGGAUUAAUACCCCGUAAUAUAAUGGAGUGGCAUCACUUUAUUAUUAAAGCUCCGGCGGUUCGGGAUGGGCGUGCGGCUGAUUAGGUAGUUGGUUGAGGUAACGGCUCACCAAGCCUACGAUCAGUAACUGGUGUGAGAGCACGACCAGUAACACGGGCACCGAGACACGGGCCCGACUCCUACGGGAGGGAGCAGUAAGGGAUACUGGGCAAUGGAGGCAACUCUGACCCAGCCAUGCCGGGUGGAGGAUGAAGGCCCUCUGGGUUGUAAACUUCUUUUAUAGGGGACGAAACCUGUGUAUUCUUACGCAGUUGACGGUACCCGAGGAAUAAGCACCGGCUAACUCCGUG